CAGAGAUCCAAACCCUCCGGGGGCGC
Molecule: microRNA, 26 nt
Filed under: Human alphaherpesvirus 1 (Herpes simplex virus type 1)
Lineage: Duplodnaviria; Heunggongvirae; Peploviricota; Herviviricetes; Herpesvirales; Orthoherpesviridae
Description: partial non-coding RNA
Source: RNAcentral